RNAcentral lists this ribosomal RNA (490 nucleotides) under uncultured bacterium. RNAcentral's name for it is "partial 16S ribosomal RNA". It matches the Rfam family "Bacterial small subunit ribosomal RNA", at positions 30 to 507 of the family's 1533-position model. The record is from RNAcentral.
AUUGAACGCUGGCGGCAGGCCUAACACAUGCAAGUCGAACGGUAACAGGAAGAAGCUUGCUUCUUUGCUGACGAGUGGCGGACGGGUGAGUAAUGUCUGGGAAACUGCCUGAUGGAGGGGGAUAACUACUGGAAACGGUAGCUAAUACCGCAUAACGUCGCAAGACCAAAGAGGGGGACCUUCGGGCCUCUUGCCAUCGGAUGUGCCCAGAUGGGAUUAGCUAGUAGGUGGGGUAACGGCUCACCUAGGCGACGAUCCCUAGCUGGUCUGAGAGGAUGACCAGCCACACUGGAACUGAGACACGGUCCAGACUCCUACGGGAGGCAGCAGUGGGGAAUAUUGCACAAUGGGCGCAAGCCUGAUGCAGCCAUGCCGCGUGUAUGAAGAAGGCCUUCGGGUUGUAAAGUACUUUCAGCGGGGAGGAAGGGAGUAAAGUUAAUACCUGUGCUCAUUGACGUUACCCGCAGAAGAAGCACCGGCUAACUCCGUG